RNAcentral lists this ribosomal RNA (574 nucleotides) under Penicillium sp. SCAU-F-50. RNAcentral describes it as "eukaryotic LSU rRNA". The stretch from base 205 to 357 matches the Rfam family "5.8S ribosomal RNA". The record is from RNAcentral. Lineage: Eukaryota; Fungi; Ascomycota; Eurotiomycetes; Eurotiales; Aspergillaceae.
AUUCGUAGUGACCUGCGGAGGAUCAUUACCGAGUGAGGGCCCUCUGGGUCCAACCUCCCACCCGUGUUUAUUUUACCUUGUUGCUUCGGCGGGCCCGCCUUAACUGGCCGCCGGGGGGCUUACGCCCCCGGGCCCGCGCCCGCCGAAGACACCCUCGAACUCUGUCUGAAGAUUGUAGUCUGAGUGAAAAUAUAAAUUAUUUAAAACUUUCAACAACGGAUCUCUUGGUUCCGGCAUCGAUGAAGAACGCAGCGAAAUGCGAUACGUAAUGUGAAUUGCAAAUUCAGUGAAUCAUCGAGUCUUUGAACGCACAUUGCGCCCCCUGGUAUUCCGGGGGGCAUGCCUGUCCGAGCGUCAUUGCUGCCCUCAAGCACGGCUUGUGUGUUGGGCCCCGUCCUCCGAUCCCGGGGGACGGGCCCGAAAGGCAGCGGCGGCACCGCGUCCGGUCCUCGAGCGUAUGGGGCUUUGUCACCCGCUCUGUAGGCCCGGCCGGCGCUUGCCGAUCAACCCGAAUUUUUAUCCAGGUUGACCUCGGAUCAGGUAGGGAUACCCGCUGAACUUAAGCAUAUCAAAG